AGGAGUGCUUCCAAGAGCUCCACAGAGAAGCUGGAUGAGCAGUCUAAAGGCAGGAACUAUGGAAGCUGCACCACAGCAAGGACUAUAGCCAGCAGUGGGGAGCUUCAGCAUGAACCCUGUGAAUCUGGCAUGGGCAAUGGCAGCCAUGGAUGUGGUUCUGUACCAGCCACUUUUACCACGCCUAAUGGCAGCCAGGAAUGUGCCCCUGCACCUGUGACCCAGCUCGCACUACAGCAGAGUGCUCAAGGGAUAUGUGCCACAGGUAGUGAUGCUCCCGAGAAAGUUCGCUGGAGGUUUUGGCAAAUUUGUCACGAGACAGACAGUCACAUGCAGAUUCCUGGUGGGACAAACUCUGCGAGUCAAUGCAUUUGGGUGAUGCCCUCCUUGAAGUGUGAGACCACAUGAGGAGGUUGGUAGUCCCGUGUUGAUUACCAGAGGUCACAUGACUUUAAGUUAUGUCCUUCAGAGAAUUUUUAAGCAUCUCUUGGAAAAAACACAAAAGUGGGUACCAUCCCAGAAAGGGAAAAGUAGCUCCGCUUGACUUGUUUCUGUCCAGGAGGUAGCCAGGAGCAUUACAGGUGAACCUUUCCCCUGAAAUGUACAGCUCUCCCCUGACACCAGUGCAACUGCCAGCAGGGCCAAGCGGCCACCACUGCAUUUCGGGGAUCCAGGGCCAUUUCAGGGUGAUGGUGGGGUGAAGACAAAGAAGGGCGCCCUGGAUCAACUGCUCACAAUAUUGUGUUUCUUACAAUAAAAUGUCACGUUAU
This is a long non-coding RNA of Alligator sinensis (Chinese alligator), 767 nucleotides long. RefSeq lists it as uncharacterized. The transcript is spliced from 3 exons. The record is from RefSeq and is a predicted model, not a curated record. Lineage: Eukaryota; Metazoa; Chordata; Crocodylia; Alligatoridae.